AUUGAACGCUGGCGGCAGGCCUAACACAUGCAAGUCGAGCGGAUGAAGGGAGCUUUCUCCUGGAUUCAGCGGCGGACGGGUGAGUAAUGCCUAGGAAUCUGCCUGGUAGUGGGUGAUAACGUCCGGAAACGGGCGCUAAUACCGCAUACGUCCUGAGGGAGAAAGUUGGGGAUCUUCGGACCUCACGCUAUCAGAUGAGCCUAGGUCGGAUUAGCUAGUUGGUGGGGUAAAGGCCUACCAAGGCGACGAUCCGUAACUGGUCUGAGAGGAUGAUCAGUCACACUGGAACUGAGACACGGUCAAGACUCCUACGGGAGGCAGCAGUGGGGAAUAUUGGACAAUGGGCGAAAGCCUGAUACAGCCAUGCCGAGUGUGUGAAGAAGGUCUUCGGAUUGUAAAGAACUUUAAGUUGGGAGGAAGGGCAGUAAGUUAAUACCUUGCUGUUUUGACGUUACCAACAGAAUAAGCACCGGCUAACUUCGUG
RNAcentral lists this ribosomal RNA (484 nucleotides) under uncultured bacterium. RNAcentral's name for it is "partial 16S ribosomal RNA". It matches the Rfam family "Bacterial small subunit ribosomal RNA", at positions 30 to 507 of the family's 1533-position model. The record is from RNAcentral.